Molecule: unclassified non-coding RNA, 486 nt
Filed under: Hevea brasiliensis (rubber tree)
Lineage: Eukaryota; Viridiplantae; Streptophyta; Magnoliopsida; Malpighiales; Euphorbiaceae
Source: RNAcentral
GAAAACAAUCUUUAAAUAUCAUCAAUGCAGUAGGUAAGUAACUGCAUAUGAUAUCGGAUGCGUCUCUCCAUCCAUUGUUUUGCAUUAUUAAAAAACUGAACAACAAGAAAUUUAUUCAGCAGCAUCUAGAUCCCGACAAGGAGGAGCCUUAGGCUCACCUAAUAAUGUAGUAUUUCCUCCUUCUGGUCCACAAUUGAUACGACCUGGAUUCUGAGUGCCGCGCGGUGGUUUUUCACCUUUCCUGAAUGCCUCAACAAUCUCUACAGCUUUCUUUGGAGUGAGAUCCUCAUAAUAAUUGUAAGCAUAUCCUUCAGAUCCAUUGGAAUAGUCAGCCACCGUCAUCAUUGGAGCAUUUACACAGCAACCCAUGCAUUCCAUCUCACCAACAGAAAAUAAGCCAUCCUUAGUUACUUCAUUGCGCUUUACUCCCAGGUGCUUCAGUAUAGCUUCUUCGAUACCUCUUGAACCACGGAUCAUACAAGGUGU